RNAcentral lists this ribosomal RNA (253 nucleotides) under uncultured bacterium. RNAcentral's name for it is "partial 16S ribosomal RNA". It matches the Rfam family "Bacterial small subunit ribosomal RNA", at positions 524 to 776 of the family's 1533-position model. The record is from RNAcentral.
UACGUAGGGUGCAAGCGUUAAUCGGAAUUACUGGGCGUAAAGCGUGCGCAGGCGGUGAUGUAAGACAGAUGUGAAAUCCCCGGGCUCAACUUGGGAACUGCAUUUGUGACUGCAUCGCUGGAGUGCGGCAGAGGGGGAUGGAAUUCCGCGUGUAGCAGUGAAAUGCGUAGAUACGCGGAGGAACACCGAUGGCGAAGGCAAUCCCCUGGGCCUGCACUGUCGCUCAUGCACGAAAGCGUGGGGAGCAAACAGG